Molecule: long non-coding RNA, 724 nt
Filed under: Homo sapiens (human)
Lineage: Eukaryota; Metazoa; Chordata; Mammalia; Primates; Hominidae
Description: non-protein coding lnc-LMNB1-3:3
Source: RNAcentral
GGUUAUUGCGAAGUGCCGUGGCUGCCGGCGGGCGCUGCGGGACUCUCUGCAAUGGGACCCGAGCAGCUCUAGAGGGAGGCGGCGGCCCCAGAAGGCCGUUGGCUGAGAGAGACCAGGAGCCCUCGGAGCCGCCGCGCGCAUAGCGCUGUGGAGCAAGAAGCCAACCGCAGCGCGGGUCGACACGCCAGUAUCUGGCACCGGCAGGAGGCGCGGAACUUAGCUGCCCCAUCGGAACCCCGCCCGGAGGAAGCUGAGGGCCGAGAAAGGAUGAAUUCCGGACCGGGUCGCCCAGCCACAAGUGGAAACCUGGGCUCUCUGGAAAACGUUCUGAUCUCGAUCUGGCUAUCUCUGAAACAAAACUCCAGCCCCGCAAACCUCCCAAAGUUCAGUACACGUCCCCGUCCUCACCCCUGCCCUCCGGGCCACCUGCAGCGGGGGACUUACCGGCGCCUCGGGUCUCCUCCUCCCGACCCAGCGCGUCGCGGACACAGCUGGCGGCCAACAGGAGGCUUGGGCGCUCGACGGCGCCGGAACCUGUGAGACCGUCGCUCUGGGCGGGCUGCCGUGCGGGGUGGCAUCCUCUGCGGUGACUUCUGCUGUCUUUUGGGUCCGCCAGGAUUCCAAAAUCCCAGGCGGGUCGCUAGAAUUAUCCAUCUUCGUGGACAGGAAGCCCCAGAACGAACCACAUCUGUCCCACUCUGCUUCCGCCCUCCUUCCCCUUCGC